This is a long non-coding RNA of Malania oleifera, 2731 nucleotides long. RefSeq lists it as uncharacterized. The record is from RefSeq and is a predicted model, not a curated record. The transcript is spliced from 3 exons. NCBI's taxonomy places the organism in Eukaryota, Viridiplantae, Streptophyta, Magnoliopsida, Santalales, Ximeniaceae.
UAUAAUAACUGCAUAUACAACAGCUGCAUGUGUAUUUGUACAUGCUUACAUGCAUGCAUGGAUGCAGGCAUGAGUGGUAAGUGGGAGGUCCAACUGAUACUUACAGUUCUAGAAGGUGCAACUGAAGUGACUCAGGCAGUGGCUGAAGGGGCACCCAUCCCAGUCUCACAGCUAUACGUCCAACAUUUGUGUCAACCUUUAAGAAGAGGCAGAUAUAAAAUGGUGAGUUAAAGAUAUGUUCCAUCACUAUUCAGGACAUUUGGAAUUUAAACCUACCGGAAAAGCAAGAUGGUGAAGCGUCAAAAGCCGCACACAUUCUACACUCUUCAAGCCCAAUCCUCUUAUGCUUAGCAGAUACUCCCUGCAGGCAAAAAGUAAACAAACACAGGCAAAAUUUUUGGAAUGGCUAGAUAAGCAUGUGGAGACGAUGAAUGGCUGACAUUGCACUCAGGUUUGUCAGGGGUUGUACAUAGACAAUGGCAAUGCUAGCGACAAGGAUGCAAGGUUUGCCAUAGAUGCUGCACAUUACUGUUUCAUUGUCAUUUUUCGCCGGUUUCCAUCCUAAGCAUAUCUCUCAUCCCUUCUAUUACGUUUAGAAGCAUGAAUUUUGCACCUUAGAUUUGGAUGUGUGGAUUCUAAGGGAGCUCAAUACAAUUUUGUACUGUGUUUUGUCCAAAUCAACACCCAAAAUCAAGGUCCGAAAUCCAUGUUCCCUAACACGGUGAGUGCCAUUUCAGUUUUUUGUUUUCUUGCAUUAUUUAUAGUGGUCCUCGUUUUUGUAAUAGAAGUUCAUACUGUAAUAAUGGAUGGACUUGGGCUUCCACAACAAUGCAAGUAAGCUUUGAAAAGCAACUAAGUAACACUCACAUUGAGGUAUGUUGGGCAUGCAAUUGUUAAUCCAAAUGUUUGAUUUGAGCAUAUCUUGGCCUUCGAACAGUGAACUUGUUGAGCUAGGCUCUAGCUGGUUAGCUGCCGAGGCACCCAUCGGAGUCAUAGUGCAGGCGCCUGUGAACUCCAAGUGAUCUUCGAAUGAUAUAUUGCCGGUAGAGACAUGGAUUUCGCCAGCUAAAGCUCCCUCCCAAUUGUGAAUGCUUUUCUCCGAUUUCCCACAAUUUGUUGAAUCGUAACACACAACUCUCACAUUAGCCCCAGAUUCUUGAGAAAGCCCAGAUGAAAAUCUCUCUGAUUUCAACCAUCCUAGCUGGUUCCCUUGUCUCUCUGCAUGGAUCUGCUGCGGUUUUGGUAGAAUGGGCUUAUAAGGUGUCCCUGGAACCCAAGAACCCUGAAUUUUUAAACUGCUUUCAUUUGAAAUGGAACUCCCUCUUCUCAUCUCCAUUCUGAACUUGCAAAAACCCAAACUCACUGAUUUCUCCCCGAUUUUUGUACUUUUCUGGAGCAACAACCCUCUUCAACAUGCUCAACAUCUGAAAUACCUCUUCAUAGCUGAGUUUAGGGUUAAAUUGCACUUAAAAAAAACUUCAGGGUAAGGCCUGUUGUGGAAUUGUCCUGCCAGAAGAGGGGGAAAAGAAAUAAAAUUAGACUAACAAUGGAAAAAAGGGCAAACCUGCAGGAUCCAUUUGAGCUGAAACAAAAGAUCAGUGAAAAUCAAGCUUGCUAAAAGCUCACAAUUAUUCGAGAAACAUUUUAAACAUAUAGAUCUCUGAAAUGCUUUCACCCCACAGCUAUCCUGUGAGCCAAAUCGCAGCAAGCUGACACAGCAGCAAGUGUGUUUUUUUUUUUUUCUUUGGAAGAAGAAUCAAAGAAUUAAAUGAGCCAUAAAAUUGGUUGAAUUUCAGUAAUUGUCGAAACUGGGUCUGAGGAGUACCGCAAGAGAAUAGUUUUAAAAAAGGAAAAACAAAGAAAAAAGAAAAUCCCAACAGAAUCUCUCUGAUUUCCCAAGAGAUAAUGCCGCUUUACUCUGCCCUGUUCCUCGGCACGCAUAUAAACGCACGAUAAUAAAACUUAGAAAGAAGAACCAUUCAACAUCACAGAGUUACCGGAGAAGUGGAUCAUUUCCAGAGAUCUGAUUCAUCCAACGGCGGCCACCACAACAGGAACAGACUCUUUCCAUGAGAGAGAAGAAACCAAACGGGGAGAGGGCUUUUGUAUUAUAUAUAUAUACUCCUCACAGCUGGUUGAACUGAUAACUCUUUUCCCGGUGAGGGUAUAUUUGUACAUUCACGGCUGCCAACAAGCACGGCGUGUAAAGCGUCCCAGCAGGACUUCUACACGUGAUCGACUGGAAACUGAGCCAGGCCGCGCAUGCUCGACACUUGGCACGUGGCAAGAUGUCCAUUCCCCAUAAUAGGUUUCGGCUGGAUUACGACGCCGUUUCGACGACGCUAAGCAGGCGACGCCACCGAGAGUACCCUCGCUAUUUAUUUAUUCAUUUAUUUUCGUUUUUCGUUGGACGGCGGCGAUGAGUCCAAAGGCGGUCGUCAGUUGACGCCGUUAGUGGGCCCCACCGGUGCACGCUUUUCUAGUGGGGGGAGGUUGGUGGUGUUCGAUACUUUAAUGUGGCUUUGCUCCCCUGGUGUGUGACUGGGAAUUAUCAUGGCAUCGGAUCGGACGGCGGAGAGACGUCGAUGAGCAUCUUAUCGGAAAUGUGCGGUGAUUUGAUGGGAGAAAGGGGGGUCGGCGGUUGGGUUAUUUAAUUUUGUUCCCAAUUAAAACUUGGCAUAUUAUAUUGUUGUAAGAACUUUUGAAAGGAAGUUACGAGACCGUUGCUGUU